Long non-coding RNA from Cydia amplana, 2151 nucleotides. RefSeq lists it as uncharacterized. Lineage: Eukaryota; Metazoa; Arthropoda; Insecta; Lepidoptera; Tortricidae. The record is from RefSeq and is a predicted model, not a curated record. The transcript has 2 exons.
UUUUUUUUUCUCCUGGCUUACUCCCUGCAAUUUUGCCCAGGGUGAAUUUGCCAAUGUCGGUGUUGACUUUCACACGUGAGGAGAAUGUUCGGUAUAAUAAUUUUGUAUUUUUGGAAGGAUGUAGUUGGGAAACCCUAAAAACAAAUAAUUGUUAUGAACAUCACAGACAAACACAUGACGAAUACAAAAAUUAGCAAAAAAGCGGGAAGCGGGUGACAGAACGUUAGUAGUGCCAACAUGAAGGAAGUGGAAGAGAAGAAUACUUUAUAUAUAUAAUAUAGAUAAAGAUAUAGAGUAUAAAUUGACAUGAAUUAAACGAGUUAAAUUAGAAAAGAUAAGACGUUAUUUAGAGUUUAAUGUUAUUCGUUUGUAAAUAUUUAAUUAGGAUAGAAGUUAGCUUAGUAUCCAUGUGACAAAGUAGCGAGCUAAAGCAUAUAGGUCGUGGAACAUUUUCGGGUAAUACAUCGUACAGCGAGUAGCUACAUUUUGAACAAGCAAAGAAGAUGUGGUCCAAGUUGCCCUCAUCCAACCCACAUUCACACAUUGAAUUCGCACGGACACCAAUCAUAGCCAGAAAUAACGGGGUACAUACUUUGCCUAAGCGUAAGCGACAAAUGGUGGAUAUUACCCAUUUCGGAGAAGUACGGAAUCGAUAGAACCACGGUUUUCGAGUAAUUCGAGGUUGUAUACAGCCAUAAUGUUUACCGGUCUCUAAUCUAGAGGUAUCCCAUUGUUCCUGCCAUGAAUCAAACAUAUCAGAUAGUGCACAACUCAACAGGUCAGUACUGUAAAUUUCCUGUUUUAUUGAUCCAAUCUCAAUCGCCUGUUUUGCCCAUAUAUCAGCCAUCUCAUUACCUCUAAUACCACAGUGGCUUGGAACCCAUCCGAGAACAAUAUGUAGGCCCCUCAGUUCACACCUACGUAGCACAGCCUUAAUUUCAAGGAUCAAUGGAAAUUUUGCUUUAAAUUUGAAUUGAUUGCCUACAAUUGCCUGCAGGCAACUCCUGCUGUCAGAGAAGAUAAUUGUUUUUUUAAUGUUAUGUGUGUCUGCAUAUUUUACCGCCUCAAGAAUAGCAACUGCCUCACCGGUGAAAAUGGAUGCUUGAGGAGGACAUUUAAAUGGGAGGGCAAUAUUGUACCGAGGAAUCCACACCGCUGCUCCCACGCAUCUUGUAGGAUCCACCUUAGAUGCAUCAGUAAAAACCGUGACCUCCAGUGCCAGUGCUCGCAAGCGUGGAAGCAGCAAGUGGUUGUUAUAAGAGCUGGCUUUAAUCAAGAACCUGUCGGCGAGGUAUUGUCUGCGUAGAGAUAACGGCGGUUCAACACCUUCCACCUGCAUGCCAUUUUUGGGAGAAGGAAGCAUAGCACCUAGUAUGAUCCUUAAACAUUUAGCCUGUAUAAGGUCUAAUUUAUCUAGGCCAUCCUUAUUACAGGGUUCCAUUAAAAAUGACCCAUAGUCCAUAUGGCUGCGUAUGAUGGCAUUAUAUAGUAGCUUCUGGCAAUAAGGAUGGGAGCCCCACCAGACACCUGACAACGCUCGCAGAAUAUUAAUAUUUUUCUCACAUUUACCCAGUACAUAUUUGUGGUGUGAGGUGCCAGACAUUUUGUGGUCUAAUAUAACACCUAGAAAUUUUACUGACUCUUUACUUGGAAUCACAACACCACCAUAACGGACAUCUGCGGCAGGCAUGAUCCUUCUGCGACUGAAAGUCACUACACAACUUUUUGUUGGUGAUAGGGUCAAACCAUGUUCAUCAAGCCAAUCCUUGAGGUAACCCAAAGCUGUAUUUAGACUAGCAGUGGCUUUGUCCAUUGACUUUGCUGAGGUGUAUAAGACUAGAUCAUCAGCAUACUGCAAGAUAUUACAGAAGGAUAGGACAGAUUGCUCCAAGUCGUAGGUGUAGAUACUGUAAAGUAGGGGGCUGAGCACCGAUCCUUGCGGAAGACCACGCCACAAAGUUCGAGGAGGGUAAUAAGAAUUACCAUUCCUAAUUUUAAUUGACCUACCCAUGAACAAUUUGGUGACAAUAUGUACAAUCUUCGCGGGAAUGCUCAGAUGUAGCAUUUUUGCCCUGAGCACCGGAAGAAGGACAUUGUCGUAGGCCGCAGAGAUAUCUAGAAAACAUCCCAGCAGAUAUUCGUUUUUUGAAA